Molossus molossus (Pallas's mastiff bat) is the source of this 130-nucleotide small nucleolar RNA. RefSeq annotates it as small nucleolar RNA SNORA24. Lineage: Eukaryota; Metazoa; Chordata; Mammalia; Chiroptera; Molossidae. The record is from RefSeq and is a predicted model, not a curated record. The transcript has a single exon.
CUCCCUGUGUCUCUGGGACCUGCUGGCUGUGGCAGUCUCCUUCCUAGCCAGGGAAGAGCAUUUUCUUGUUUGUUGGCAAAGCUGUCACCAUGUCAUUGGUAUCAGAUUCUGACUUGGACAAGUAACAUUC